Phrynosoma platyrhinos (Desert horned lizard) is the source of this 73-nucleotide non-coding RNA. The record is from the annotation of a GenBank genome assembly. NCBI's taxonomy places the organism in Eukaryota, Metazoa, Chordata, Lepidosauria, Squamata, Phrynosomatidae.
GCCAGUGUGGUAUAGUGGUUUGUGUGUUGGACUAGGAUACUGGGAAACCAGGGUUAGAGUCCCUGCUCAGUCA